CUUGUUUUGCCAUGACAGAUUAAUAUUCUAAGUGUGUGACAUUAUGGAAAGGAUUUCUAAGGAGGUCGACCUUUCUGUUAAAGAGUAAGAUCCUUUUUUAAACAUAAAAACAUCCUCAAAAUUGCGUUUGCUUAACCCACCAGACUUCAUGUAAAUAAAGUAAUUUUAGCAUCGUAAAAAACCCACUUCAUUCAAAGUGGACA
Long non-coding RNA from Etheostoma spectabile (orangethroat darter), 203 nucleotides. RefSeq lists it as uncharacterized. The transcript has 2 exons. Lineage: Eukaryota; Metazoa; Chordata; Actinopteri; Perciformes; Percidae. The record is from RefSeq and is a predicted model, not a curated record.